CGGCGGACGGGUGAGUAACACGUGGAUAACCUACCUAUAAGACUGGGAUAACUUCGGGAAACCGGAGCUAAUACCGGAUAAUAUAUUGAACCGCAUGGUUCAAUAGUGAAAGACGGUUUUGCUGUCACUUAUAGAUUGAUCCGCGCCGCAUUAGCUAGUUGGUAAGGUAACGGCUUACCAAGGCAACGAUGCGUAGCCGACCUGAGAGGGUGAUCGGCCACACUGGAACUGAGACACGGUCCAG
Molecule: ribosomal RNA, 244 nt
Filed under: uncultured Staphylococcus sp.
Lineage: Bacteria; Bacillati; Bacillota; Bacilli; Caryophanales; Staphylococcaceae
Description: partial 16S ribosomal RNA
Rfam family: Bacterial small subunit ribosomal RNA
Source: RNAcentral